AACGAACGCUGGCGGCAGGCUUAACACAUGCAAGUCGAACGGAUCCUUCGGGAUUAGUAGCAGACGGGUGAGUAACGCGUGGGAACGUACCCUUUGCUACGGAAUAACUCAGGGAAACUUGAGCUAAUACCGUAUGUGCCCUACGGGGGAAAGAUUUAUCGGCAAAGGAUCGGCCCGCGUUGGAUUAGCUAGUUGGUGGGGUAAUGGCCUACCAAGGCGACGAUCCAUAGCUGGUCUGAGAGGAUGAUCAGCCACACUGGGACUGAGACACGGCCCAGACUCCUACGGGAGGCAGCAGUGGGGAAUAUUGGACAAUGGGCGCAAGCCUGAUCCAGCCAUGCCGCGUGAGUGAUGAAGGUCUUAGGACUGUAAAGCUCUUUCACCGGUGAAGAUAAUGACGGUAGCCGGAGAAGAAGCCCCGGCUAACUUCGUG
RNAcentral lists this ribosomal RNA (433 nucleotides) under uncultured bacterium. RNAcentral describes it as "partial 16S ribosomal RNA". It matches the Rfam family "Bacterial small subunit ribosomal RNA", at positions 29 to 507 of the family's 1533-position model. The record is from RNAcentral.